GGUUGAUCCUGCCAGUAGUCAUAUGCUUGUCUUAAAGAUUAAGCCAUGCAUGUCUAAGUAUAAACAUUUAUACUGUGAAACUGCGAAUGGCUCAUUAAAUCAGUUAUAGUUUAUUUGAUAAUACCUUACUACUUGGAUAACCGUAGUAAUUCUAGAGCUAAUACAUGCUAAAGUUCCCGACUUCGCGGAAGGGAUGUAUUUAUUAGAUAAAAAACCAAUGCAGGGGGGCAACCCUCUGGUACCAUUGAUGAUUCAUAAUAACUUUGCGAAUCGCAUGACCUCGCGUCGGCGAU
Molecule: ribosomal RNA, 293 nt
Filed under: uncultured eukaryote
Lineage: Eukaryota
Description: partial 18S ribosomal RNA
Rfam family: Eukaryotic small subunit ribosomal RNA
Source: RNAcentral